RNAcentral lists this long non-coding RNA (357 nucleotides) under Trifolium pratense (red clover). RNAcentral's name for it is "long non-coding RNA (TPRA_LNC000210)". Lineage: Eukaryota; Viridiplantae; Streptophyta; Magnoliopsida; Fabales; Fabaceae. The record is from RNAcentral.
UCGGCCGGAAAUGGCCAUGGCAUUGCUCAUUGUUCUGAUUUCUACUACUGUGGUUUCCGUUGCUGCUGAUGGUUACCCAUACAAUUCUCCACCACCACCUUAUGAGUACAAGUCACCUCCACCACCAUAUGAACAUAAGGCUCCACCUUACGAGUACAAGUCUCCACCUCCACCUUCCCCGUCACCUCCACCUCCUUAUGUAUACAAGUCACCACCUCCACCACCGUAUGAGCACAAAGCUCCACCAUAUGAGUACAAGUCUCCUCCACCACCUUCUCCAUCACCUCCACCUCCUUACUACUAUAAAUCUCCACCACCACCUUCUCCCUCACCCCCACCACCUUACUACUACAAGUN